ACAGCAGCCGCCACGGUAAUACGUAGGGGGCGAGCGUUGUCCGAAGUUACUGGGCGUAAAGCGCGCGUAGGCGGCUUCUUAAGUCUGAGGUGAAAGGUUCAACGCUUAACGUGAACAGUGCCUUGGAUACUGGGGAGCUUGAGUAUGGGAGAGGGCAGUGGAAUGGCUGGUGUAGCGGUGAAAUGCGUAGAUAUCAGUCGGAACACCCAUGGCGAAGGCAGCUGCCUGGCCUAAUACUGACGCUGAGGUGCGAAAGCGUGGGGAGCGAACGGGAUUAGAUACCCCUGUAGUCCCUGUCUCUUAUA
RNAcentral lists this ribosomal RNA (305 nucleotides) under uncultured bacterium. RNAcentral describes it as "partial 16S ribosomal RNA". It matches the Rfam family "Bacterial small subunit ribosomal RNA", at positions 508 to 808 of the family's 1533-position model. The record is from RNAcentral.